AUGAACGCUGGCGGCGUGCCUAAUACAUGCAAGUCGAACGAAACUUCUUUAUCACCGAGUGCUUGCACUCACCGAUAAAGAGUUGAGUGGCGAACGGGUGAGUAACACGUGGGCAACCUGCCCAAAAGAGGGGGAUAACACUUGGAAACAGGUGCUAAUACCGCAUAACCAUAGUUACCGCAUGGUAACUAUGUAAAAGGUGGCUAUACUACCGCUUUUGGAUGGGCCCGCGGCGCAUUAGCUAGUUGGUAGGGUAAAGGCUUACCAAGGCAAUGAUGCGUAGCAGAAUGGAGGGGUUGAUCGGCCACAUUGGGACUGAGACACGCCCCAAACUCCUACGGGGGGCAGCAGGAGGGAAUCUUCCACAAUGGGCGAAAGCCGGAUGGAGCAACGCCGCGUGGGGGAAGAGGGUUUCCGGAUCUAAAAACCUUGUUUUGGGAGAAAAAGGUGGGGGAGAGUAAUUGUUCCCUUUUCGACGGUAUCUAACAAAAAAGCCACGGCUAACUACGCG
This 511-nucleotide ribosomal RNA is filed under the name uncultured bacterium. RNAcentral describes it as "partial 16S ribosomal RNA". It matches the Rfam family "Bacterial small subunit ribosomal RNA", at positions 29 to 507 of the family's 1533-position model. The record is from RNAcentral.